GUAGGUGGCAAGCGUUGUCCGGAAUUAUUGGGCGUAAAGCGCGCGCAGGCGGUUUCUUUAAGUCUGAUGUGAAAGCCCACGGCUCAACCGUGGAGGGUCAUUGGAAACUGGAGAACUUGAGUACAGAAGAGGAAAGCGGAAUUCCACGUGUAGCGGUGAAAUGCGUAGAGAUGUGGAGGAACACCAGUGGCGAAGGCGGCUUUCUGGUCUGUAACUGACGCUGAGGCGCGAAAGCGUGGGGAGCAAACAGGGAUUAGAUACCCUGGUAGUCCACGCCGUAAACGAUGAGUGCUAAGUGUUAGGGGGGUUUCCGCCCCCGUUAGUGCUGCAGCUAACGCAUUAAGCACUCCGCCUGGGGAUACGGCCGCAAGGCUG
Molecule: ribosomal RNA, 375 nt
Filed under: uncultured organism
Description: partial 16S ribosomal RNA
Rfam family: Bacterial small subunit ribosomal RNA
Source: RNAcentral